CAUGAAGCUGGAUUCGCUAGUAAUCGCGCAUCAGCCACGGCGCGGUGAAUACGUUCCCCGGGCCCUUGUACACACCGCCCGUCAAGCCAUGGAAGCCGGGAGUGCCUGAAGUGCGUGAGCGCAAGCAGCGCCCUAAGGUAAAACCGGUGACUGGGGCUAAGUCGUAACAAGGUACC
This 176-nucleotide ribosomal RNA is filed under the name uncultured bacterium. RNAcentral describes it as "partial 16S ribosomal RNA". It matches the Rfam family "Bacterial small subunit ribosomal RNA", at positions 1319 to 1500 of the family's 1533-position model. The record is from RNAcentral.